This 400-nucleotide transfer-messenger RNA is filed under the name Legionellales bacterium. It matches the Rfam family "transfer-messenger RNA". Rfam says of the family: Bacterial tmRNA, also known as 10Sa RNA or SsrA, is named for its dual tRNA and mRNA-like properties. Its role is to liberate the mRNA from a stalled ribosome. To accomplish this part of the tmRNA is used as a reading frame that ends in a translation stop signal. The record is from RNAcentral. RNAcentral also lists the same sequence under 1 other name. Lineage: Bacteria; Pseudomonadati; Pseudomonadota; Gammaproteobacteria; Legionellales.
GGGGGCGAUUUGGUUUCGACGUGGAUUACGAAACCUGAGGUGCAUGCCGAGGAUGUAGCUAUCCUCGUUAAAAAUGCUGCAAACUCUAUAGAUGCCAAAAACGAUGACAUCUUCGCUGGAGACUUUGCUGAAGCUGCCUAAGGGCAUUUUCAACACUGCAGCCGCUUAAAAACCGGCACGGCGCCAUUGCCCGGAUUUGCCCGUGGGUUCGGUGUCAAUGGUAAGACACAUGGGAUCGCGAUGAUAACCGUUCCGACUAUCGUCGCUAAACUUUAGGAGCUCGCGGUUUGAAAACCUUGUCUCGUCAGGUCCAAACCGUUAAAUUGAAGACGACUCUAAGCAUGUAGAGCCAAGGGCAGAGGAUUUGCGGACGCGAGUUCAAUUCUCGCCGCCUCCACCA